UACGUAGGGAGCAAGCGUUGUCCGGAAUCAUUGGGCGUAAAGCGCGCGUAGGUGGCCUCAUAAGUCCGCUGUGAAAGUCAAAGGCUCAACCUUUGAAAGCCGGUGGAUACUGUGAGGCUAGAGUACGGAAGAGGCGAGUGGAAUUCCUGGUGUAGCGGUGGAAUGCGCAGAUAUCAGGAGGAACACCAAUAGCGAAGGCAGCUCGCUGGGCCGUAACUGACGCUGAGGAGCGAAAGCGUGGGGAGCGAACAGG
This 253-nucleotide ribosomal RNA is filed under the name uncultured bacterium. Its description in RNAcentral is "partial 16S ribosomal RNA". It matches the Rfam family "Bacterial small subunit ribosomal RNA", at positions 524 to 776 of the family's 1533-position model. The record is from RNAcentral.